CUUUUAAACUGCACAACAUUUAAACAAAAUCUUUUGGUAUUCUACAUCAGGUUUUCUGUUUACAUAGAACUAUCUCCAACUCUUCUUUAUCUUCUAUAGGUUUUUUAUUUCACCGGAUUUACUUCAUUACUUCUUUCUUCAAAACAGAUCUUUUCUCCCCUACACCCUAGAUUAUAAAGAGAAAUAAUUAAAGAUGGAGAGAGGGAAAUGAAAGGUUUUGAUGUCACAUAUUCAGUUUUUCUAGCUUAUAAUUUUAUUGAUACCCCUUAGAAUGUAGCUAGAGUCUCUUGAACAGUGAUUUGUCAGGCUUUGUUUGACAAGUGGCAAAAAGCCCUGUUUCUACCGAUGUCCAAAUAAAACCUCUUCCAGAAUCAAAUGGUUAGUGCUCUGAAUUGUCAUAUAGAAAAUGCACAGCCUCUAAAUAAUUUCAGAAUGUAUGUAGAUUCAAUGGGAAACAGGACAAGAAGGAAAUCAAAAGGGAUCUCAUCCCUGUUUGCUUUUUCCUUUUGACCCAUUUCGUGCUCCAUCUGAUCAUAUAAGUCAGUACAGCAGUGCAUCCUCUCUGCUCCCAUGCCAGCCUACACAUGGGAGUAGGCACUCAAGAAAUAGAUGCCUAGGCAGUUUGGACCCAAGGUGAAUCCCACACAGCAGACUCAGGUCUACUUUUAUCUUUGAACCAGUAAGACUGAAGUUUUUGUCAGUCACAUAACUAUUUUCCCCACACUCUGAGUUGCUGGAACUAGUGUGGCCUGGAGAACAAAUACAAAAAGGAAGAUUUGCUGCAAUGUUCACAAACUAAAGAAAAGCUGGUAUUAGUGUAAAUUCUGAACAGUACAUUUGCAGGAGGUUAGGCAAUUGCUGACUUCCUUGGAAAUAUGUCUGUAGUUCCUGUUUCACAAAUGUCCCACAGAAAAAGAAAUGCACUCAUAUUGGCCAAAGAGCCGGGGGGAAAGUGUGGGUCCUGCUUGGUUUAUGUUGAGCAUGGAAAGCUGUUUACAAGGAUAUAAACUGAAGAUGUUUCCAGUAAUGCUGCCCUCUCAGCUAGCAAUUGCAGAGCCCCAGACCUCACUGGAGCUCUCUUGCAGGAUCCUGCUUAAUGCGCUGGCCUAGCCACUUUCUAAGCUCUGUUUGUAAAUUCUCUGUUACAAUAUCAGGGGUGCACAGCAGACACUACAUUUUGAGAGGAAUACUGUUUUAUAAGCAAGACCAUAUCAUUGCUUCUGGUCAGUUUCUGGGCUCAUGUUUUAGAGCACUAGCUGAAGGAUGUCAGAAUAGAGCAACACUGCCUAUCAUUUCAUAUUAUGCCAAAAACAAACCCAUUGAUAUGAAAAAGGUCUGUGUACUCUGUGAACUAUUUUUUAGAGAUGUACCAUACACAGGCCUUCAAAAGGUCAAUAGAGGGGAGCAGGGGAGGCUGUUUACUUUGACCCUGUCUGAAUGAUAUUUUUUCUUAGGAAACCUUUUAUCCAACAACUUUUUCUGUGACCAUAAAGGAUAUUGUGAGUAUUGUAUGUUUGUAUUAAGGCAAUGAAUAGAGUUGCCCCAGUAUGUUUAUAAAGUGCUCAUCACUCAUCCUCUCUUCUCUAAAAUGCUUCUGUGUGAUUGAAGACAAGAUACAGAAAUGUUUGAUCCACUGCUAGUGAAGGGUUGACUGAAUAAGAAAAAAAAGUCAAGCAUACACAAAUAUAAAGUGCUCAGGGAGAUGGCUUUAUUCAUAUUAUAUUAAAUCCAUAUUUUGCUAUAAUUCUGGAGACUGUGACUUAUCAACAAAUGUGGAAUAUUUUCUUUUCUUGGUAAAAAUAACACUGGAAAAUUAAAUUACAUUCUUCUUCCUACUUCCUUGAAAGAAAUGUCAAUUUUUCUAUAACACAUUUCAGUCAUGCAUAACAUAUCUACCCAGUUAUUCCUAUCAAUAACCUUUCACAUAUUUGGGAUGGACCAUCAUGUCCUUCAAAGUUUCCUUCUAAAUGAUGAUCUCAUAAGCAGAAAAUCUCAUGUGUUCUGGUGUAUUCUGAUAUCAACACAUAGGAUAAGGAGCUAUUACCUGAAACCAACAGACAAGUACAACUUUUCUAUAUUUACUUAUCAAACUCUUUGCUCACCUAACAUGUUUCUAUGGUCUUAGACUGUGAGCUUUGUGAGACUUGGGCUGUUUCAUGCUACUCACUUGGCUCAUUGCAUUAUGGCUGAGUCCUGUUAGGGUUCUGAAACAAAGAGAAAUAGAGAUGGAGACAAAAGAAGUUGUUGCCUCUGCUGGCUGAACUUUGAUGUCAGAUAAGGACAAUUUCAGGAGAAAGAAUAAAGUGCUGGUAUGUUUCUGCACAGGUCCAACAACCUGACAGACUAUACAACCAUGAGUCCUCUACCAGGAGGACUUUCUUCACCUGUUGCUGCUGGGGCUAUAAUAUCCCAGCACUAAAGAAGGGAAACUGUUUACCGCCUCAAAGGACAAGAUAGAUUGUUGCUGUAUGAAGUCAAGAGGAUAACUCGGGCUGUGUUGGGUCAAGGCUGGAGUGGAUCUUCCUUCCUGAACUGGGUUUGGUGUGACCAAGAAAGCAGUGAUCUCUGAGGAGCAGGACAAGCCACCAUCUUCUCUCUUCUUGGGUUAAACCCUCACAAGGAUUUCUCUGAGAUUUUGGUACCAUCUAAAUUGAACUUCAGCCUUGAAAUUAUUCUGGGUUCAGAGUCCCAUGGCAGAUGUAAGAUCCUAACAGACAGCAGUCAACUGGAAACGAAAAAUGGCUCAAAAUGCUUGAUUAAAAUAUGUAUCACGGAAAUGCUGCAAAUAUGAACCUUGCCAUUGGAUUACUUAAUCAGACAGCCCAGAGAGGGUCAUUUUGCUUUGGAGAUAAACACAAGGUGGCAUGGCAUCUGAUGAGUUCAGACAUAUCUGCACAUAAUAAAAAGUGG
Parus major (Great Tit) is the source of this 2910-nucleotide long non-coding RNA. RefSeq lists it as uncharacterized. The record is from RefSeq and is a predicted model, not a curated record. The transcript has 3 exons. NCBI's taxonomy places the organism in Eukaryota, Metazoa, Chordata, Aves, Passeriformes, Paridae.